GGGGGGGGCAAGCGUUGUUCGGAAUUACUGGGCGUAAAGGGCUCGUAGGCGGCCAACUAAGUCGGAUGUGAAAUCCCCAGGCUUAACCUGGGAACUGCAUCCGAUACUGGAUGGCUUGAAUCCGGGAGAGGGAUGCAGAAUUCCAGGUGUAGCGGUGAAAUGCGUAGAUAUCUGGAGGAAUACCGGUGGCGAAGGCGGCAUCCUGGACCGGCAUUGACGCUGAUGAGCGAAAGCUAGGGGAGCAAACGGGAUUAGAUACCCCGGUAGUCCUAGCCCUAAACGAUGAAUGCUUGGUGUGGCGGGUAUCGAUCCCUGCCGUGCCGAAGCUAACGCAUUAAGCAUUCCGCCUGGGGAGUACGGUCGCAAGGCUG
Molecule: ribosomal RNA, 371 nt
Filed under: uncultured bacterium
Lineage: Bacteria
Description: bacterial SSU rRNA
Rfam family: Bacterial small subunit ribosomal RNA
Source: RNAcentral